UCCCAGGUGGCUCAGAGGUUAAAGCGUCUGCCUGCAAUGCAGAAGACCUGGGUUCAAUCCCUGGGUCGGGAA
RNAcentral lists this transfer RNA (72 nucleotides) under Bos taurus (domestic cattle). It matches the Rfam family "tRNA". From Rfam's summary of the family: Transfer RNA (tRNA) molecules are approximately 80 nucleotides in length. RNAcentral also lists the same sequence under 3 other names. The record is from Rfam by way of RNAcentral. Lineage: Eukaryota; Metazoa; Chordata; Mammalia; Artiodactyla; Bovidae.